RNAcentral lists this ribosomal RNA (443 nucleotides) under uncultured bacterium. RNAcentral's name for it is "partial 16S ribosomal RNA". It matches the Rfam family "Bacterial small subunit ribosomal RNA", at positions 338 to 795 of the family's 1533-position model. The record is from RNAcentral.
CCUACGGGCGGCAGCAGUGGGGAAUAUUGGGCAAUGGAGGAAACUCUGACCCAGCAACGCCGCGUGAAUGAUGAAGGUCUUCGGAUUGUAAAGUUCUUUUCUAAGGGAAGAAGAAAGUGACGGUACCUUAGGAAUAAGCCUCGGCUAACUAGGUGCCAGCAGCCGCGGUAAUACGUAGGAGGCAAGCGUUAUCCGGAAUGACGGGGCGUAAAGGGUGCGUAGGUGGUCUGACAAGUUGGUAGCGUAACUCCGGGGCUCAGCCUCGGCACUACUACCAAACCAGUCGGACGUGAGUGCAGGGGGGGCAAAUGGGAUUCCUAGUGUAGCGGUUGAAUGCUUAGAUAUUAGGGGGAACACCAGUGGCGAAGGCGAUUUGCUGGACUGUAACUGACACUGAGGCACGAAAGCGUGGGGAGCAAACAUGAUUAGAUACCCUAGUAGUC